RNAcentral lists this ribosomal RNA (111 nucleotides) under Ophiosphaerella korrae. RNAcentral describes it as "partial small subunit ribosomal RNA". Lineage: Eukaryota; Fungi; Ascomycota; Dothideomycetes; Pleosporales; Phaeosphaeriaceae. The record is from RNAcentral.
UAAAUAGCCAGGCUAGCUUUGGCUGGUCGCCGGCUUCUUAGAGGGACUAUCGGCUCAAGCCGAUGGAAGUUUGAGGCAAUAACAGGUUAACCUACACAGGCCUGUAACAGU